Molecule: ribosomal RNA, 497 nt
Filed under: uncultured bacterium
Lineage: Bacteria
Description: partial 16S ribosomal RNA
Rfam family: Bacterial small subunit ribosomal RNA
Source: RNAcentral
GAUGAACGCUGGCGGCGUGCCUAAUACAUGCAAGUCGAGCGAACGGACGAGAAGCUUGCUUCUCUGAUGUUAGCGGCGGACGGGUGAGUAACACGUGGAUAACCUACCUAUAAGACUGGGAUAACUUCGGGAAACCGGAGCUAAUACCGGAUAAUAUUUUGAACCGCAUGGUUCAAAAGUGAAAGACGGUCUUGCUGUCACUUAUAGAUGGAUCCGCGCUGCAUUAGCUAGUUGGUAAGGUAACGGCUUACCAAGGCAACGAUGCAUAGCCGACCUGAGAGGGUGAUCGGCCACACUGGAACUGAGACACGGUCCAGACUCCUACGGGAGGCAGCAGUAGGGAAUCUUCCGCAAUGGGCGAAAGCCUGACGGAGCAACGCCGCGUGAGUGAUGAAGGUCUUCGCAUCGUAAAACUCUGUUAUUAGGGAAGAACAUAUGUGUAAGUAACUGUGCACAUCUUGACGGUACCUAAUCAGAAAGCCACGGCUAACUACGUG